RNAcentral lists this long non-coding RNA (867 nucleotides) under Ananas comosus (pineapple). RNAcentral's name for it is "long non-coding RNA (ACOM_LNC032879)". The record is from RNAcentral. Lineage: Eukaryota; Viridiplantae; Streptophyta; Magnoliopsida; Poales; Bromeliaceae.
UAAACAAAUUUUAGAAUGGAUAUGGGGUGUUUGUUUCAUCAAAAGUUUGACCAUAAAUAUCUACUUCUAUUGUUUGGUAAAACUCAAAUUCUCUAAAAUAGCGUAUAUAAUAAACUUCAACCCACUUCAAAUUGAAAUUAAAUACGAAAAAAAAUGAAAAAAUAAUAAAUUAUUAAUUUAUUUCUCGCACUUUCAGCUUUUACGAUAUUCAAUUUUUAUUAAACAAACAAUAGAUAUGGAAUACAGUUUCACAACUAAACAAAUAAACAAGGAAUUUUUUUUUUUUUUUUUAACUUAAACUCUAGUUCAUUCGAAAGUCUACUUAUAAUCUAAACUCCACCUUAGAUAAAACAAACAAAUCUAAUGAAUGAAAGUAAGGUGCAAGAUACAAGGAUGCACCAGGUGGAGACAAUAAUUUCUUCUCUUCCUUGAUACUUUAUUCAUCUCAUCAAACCCUAAGGGGUGAGGCAUCUCUCUCUCUCUCUCUCUCUCUCUCUCUCUCUCUCUAAACUCCUCUCUAGGAGAUCUAAUCUCUCCAUUCCUGUGUUCUCAUCCUCCUCUCCUUUUCUCUCCCUCAUCCCCACCCUCAAACUCCCACUUCUUUUCCCCUCCUCCACUUGGUUAUUUCCAUCCCCAAUCCCCCCCCUCGCCCCCCUUUUCUCUUUUUCUCCACCCUCUCAUCUCUUAUUUAUUCCACCACAAAUUAAUCCAUAAAAAAUUACACCCUCCUUUUCUCUCUACAACCACAAAUUUAUAUUUCCUAAUCCUUCCCUACCCUUUCUUUAUAUUUUUCUUUUUUAAAAAAAAUUCCCCCCACCAAUUAAUACUUGACCUUAUUAUUGUACUAUUAUCUUUUUUAUUAUUAUU